RNAcentral lists this microRNA (22 nucleotides) under Ascaris suum (pig roundworm). Its description in RNAcentral is "asu-miR-5345a-3p". The record is from miRBase by way of RNAcentral. Lineage: Eukaryota; Metazoa; Nematoda; Chromadorea; Rhabditida; Ascarididae.
ACUGGCCAUUCCAUUGCCUGGU